AUAGACUAUCACAUUCAACCGAAUGGAGAUAUAGACCUCCUCAGGCUGGUUAGAGGCAGAUUGAGAUCACAGUCAUGUUAAACGCCGUAGAUGUUGGCUCAAUUGGAAAUUACCUUUAAUUAACAAACUCGCUACAACUUGCAAUCGGAUUGCAUCCCGGCCAAAGAAUCAAAAGAUGAUUAUAAUAACACAUGGACUUCCUGACUUGAUGGAAAGGAGACAUCUAUAAAGAAUAAACAGGUGAUUAUAAUAACACAUGGACUUCCUGACUUGAUGGAAAGGAGACAUCUAUAAAGAAUAAACAGGUGAUUAUAAUAACACAUGGACUUCCUGACUUGAUGGAAAGGAGACAUCUAUAAAGAAUAAACAGGUGAUUAUAAUAACACAUGGACUUCCUGACUUGAUGGAAAGGAGACAUCUAUAAAGAAUAAACAGGUGAUUACAUGGACUAAUAAUACAUGAUAACAUUUCAAAAUAAAGAAUCUAUGAGUAAACAAAAUAAG
This 503-nucleotide long non-coding RNA is filed under the name Salmo salar (Atlantic salmon). RNAcentral describes it as "lncRNA (ENSSSAG00000109565.1)". The record is from RNAcentral. Lineage: Eukaryota; Metazoa; Chordata; Actinopteri; Salmoniformes; Salmonidae.